Long non-coding RNA from Strongylocentrotus purpuratus (purple sea urchin), 1335 nucleotides. RefSeq lists it as uncharacterized. NCBI's taxonomy places the organism in Eukaryota, Metazoa, Echinodermata, Echinoidea, Camarodonta, Strongylocentrotidae. The transcript has 4 exons. The record is from RefSeq and is a predicted model, not a curated record.
UUUAGCUUACCAUAAGUUGAACCGGCGAUUAAUCACCCAGUAGAGAAAUAUUGACUGACUUAAAACUGCUAUUAUUUGCUGAAAGAAAGACCUAUUUUCAAAAAUGUUCGGCGUACUUUCAAGAAGAAUGCUCACUCGUGCAGCUGGAGCCGCUCGCAUGAACGCAAGGAGGAACAUGGCUCAUAUCUAUUCAGAGAUGCCUAAAAAAGAAAGUGGUAAUCUCUACUUGGCAGGAAGCAUUGCUUUUUUGAUUGGUUCUGCUGCAAUGGUACAAUUGAAUGGACUCGUCACAUGGGGAAGUUCACCAGACAUGAAUGCUGCCCUGAAGAAGUAGACCAUAAAAACAAGAUGUUGAUUGUUCAGAGUUUCUCCCCAUAUUUUCAAGGAACUGUGCCAGGUCUGGAAACAAAAUAAACCACCAUCUCCAAACAAAUGAAACAAUGUGAAAUGUUCCGGUUGAUAAUAUGUUACUCUCCCAGGUAUUCAGAAGAUAACAAACUAAUUAUUGCAGGGUAAAAUAGUUCUUGCAUUAAAAACGUACUACCAUGUUCAGUAUGAUGCUCAAUAUACAAGGAUUAUGAAUUUAAGUAUUCAAAAGGUAACUCAGUGAUUAUUGCAGGGUGAUAUCAUGGUUUGAUUAAAACACACGAUAUACCAGUACUGUAAUUGUGUAUACCGUAAUAUGCUCAAAUUCAGGUGUUCAAAGUAAUAAAGUGGUUAUUGCAGGGUUUUAUGGGUCUCUAAAAGUCCUAUUUUACAACUGUACUGUCAAGGGUAAUACAUGUAUGUAUAAUGCACCAUGCACUACAAUUUAAUGCUAGUUUGAUACAGUAUUAGGAUUUCUCGGAAAACAGUGUUUUUAUACACAUAUACAGUACAUGUACAAGAACAUUAAAGAUUUUAAAGCCUUUAUUUCAUGUUAUUUCAUGUUCUAAAGAGCACAAAUUCAUGUUUAUCCAAGAAACCAGUAUGCCAAUAUCUCACCAUGCUGUAGGGAAUAUAGUGUAGAGUAAUAUAUCACUUAACCAAGAAUUAAAUGCAAUAUCACCCAUUUCCAGUGAAGUUUACCCAGUUACUCAUUAUGGUUAAUUUUGUAUUUUAAUCAUGAUCCUCAAUUGCACCAUGUACACAUAUUGUGAUAUAUUGGAGAGAAAGAAUGAACUUGUAAAUUGUAAAGCUAAUAGUGUUGGACUACAGAUUGUUGACCUAUUUAUGAGGCUACGGCCAACAGAUCAUGCAGUAAAUAGAGAUGUGUUUUAAAUGAAUAUUAAAGUGCACUGCUGAUGUUUUUAAAUGGAAUAAAUUGAAUAAAUUUGGAGUUAUUUCCAGAACAUA